This 1732-nucleotide long non-coding RNA is filed under the name Zalophus californianus (California sea lion). Its description in RNAcentral is "lncRNA (ENSZCAG00015008829.1)". The record is from RNAcentral. Lineage: Eukaryota; Metazoa; Chordata; Mammalia; Carnivora; Otariidae.
UUAAAAAAAAAAAAAAAGAACUACUGAUUUAAUCCAAUCCCCUUACUUUCCUAGGGAGAAAACCAAAAUCCAGAGCAUAAGCAACUUGCCCAGAGAGACACUGAGCAUGUUAGUGCGUGGUGCACCAAGAGAAACGAUGGCAAUAGCAAGAAUAUGAUGGUGAUAUUUAUAAUUUUUUUCUUGUUGGAGUUAAUCCCGGAAGCAUUUCUCUUUAGUUCAGAGAGGUGUUAUAUGAUUUACCUUUUCCCGUGACAGCAGCACUUACUCUUCUGGUAAGACUGAAAGGGUUCGCAUUCCCUGACCACAAAAGGACAGAGAUGGGAUUAUACAUUCACCACACAUAGCCAGCCAAAUUAGCAAAGCUCCCUAAGAGGCCGCUUGAAAUGCCGAAAAUGCUUCUUCUCUACAGUGAUCACCAGAGCUGAGGGAUCUUGGCAGGGUGGUGAGAAGCGAAGGGGCUGGAAAAGAGAGGAAAGCAUUCCCUCCCAGAGGGAGGGUGCUGAGAAUCAGCGGAGAAGCGACCAGAGCUGCCAGGACGGAAAGGCGAGGAAAGGAAAAGAAUUCCAAUGAGUCCAGGGAGCCUCUGCUCCCCCAGUAAAGGAACAAUGAUGCACAGCCCGGCAGUACCGACCCUCCCCGGGAGCCCUGACAUCCAAAGGAGACGAUCAAAACGGGCUCCGCGAUAUGCGCACUAAAGAAAACUUCUUCCAACACUCACAAAAAAGGGAGCCCCCGCAAAAAAACCAGAGCGCAUUUGCCCCCAAACCUCUACUAGUCCCUCGGUUCAAAGCCAAGAUCUUCUAUACCCUCCACCCCCGCUCUCAAAAGGGGGCGGUCCCGGCCUCACGUGACAUUGCGGUCACGUGACCCGGGCCCCGCGGGAGCCGAGGUGCGGGUUCCAGUUCCUGGAGUCGGAGGGGGCCUGGUGUGCCCAGCCCCCAGCCCGCCGCCACCAUGCUGUCCCGCCUGCUGAAGGAACACCAGGCCAAGCAGAACGAACGCAAGGAGCUGCAGGAGAAGAGGAGGCGAGAAGCUAUCACUGCAGCGACCUGCCUGACAGAAGCUUUGGUGGAUCACCUCAAUGUGGGGCCUGGGGAGCAGCUGACGGGAGAGAGAUGGCACAGCUGGUGAGGGUGAGGGCAGAACCUACGCCAGGAGCUAUAGCAGAGCCAGGCCGUCUCGUCCCUUCCUUCCGGGUCUCCGGAGCCCACCUCCUGCCACAGUCCUAUAGGAGAAUGUCAGUAACAACCAAAGACUUGGGAAGGAGCAAAGAAUAUUGUCUUUUGACCCUGAGUGACCCAGAAGAGUACUGAGAUGAUGAUUGGAAGAAAGGGGGAAGUAUGAUGCCUUCCACCCCAGGACAAGUAGAAUAGCUUGGUUGUGAAUCCAGAGACUGAGUCACCCAAGUGAGCCAUACAGGGACUGUCAUCUUCAUUACUCAUCUCUGGGGAAGAUGAGGGGACAAGGAGGCUGUGGUUGGGGCCUCUGAUCUCCCUCCCCUCCAGACUUCUCCCUUCACUCAGUGUGAGAGUGGGAGGUCAACAGGAAAAACUAGGAUUUUAGGAACUGCCAGGGGACUCUCUUAAAGCAUUGGGAGCCCCCCUGCUAUUACUGUUUCAGCUCCUACACUAACCCCCCCACUAUGGCCAAGCUGUGUCCCAAAGAGAAAGGACAAGGUCUGCCCCCUUUCCUCCCUCCCACAUUGGCGCCUCUUGGGCUCUGCUGUGAGACU